UACGGAGGGUGCAAGCAUUAAUCGGAAUUAUUGGGCGUAAAGGGCGCGUAGGCGGAACCGAAAGUCAGAUGUGAAAUUCCGGAGCUCAACUUCGGACCUGCAUUUGAUACUUCGGAUCUAAGAGGAAAGGCGGAGAAAAUGGAAUUCCACGUGUAGCGGUGAAAUGCGUAGAUAUGUGGAAGAACACCGGUGGCGAAAGCGGUUUUCUAGCUUUAACCUGACGCUGAGGCGCGAGAGCAAGGGGAUCAAACAGG
This 254-nucleotide ribosomal RNA is filed under the name uncultured bacterium. Its description in RNAcentral is "partial 16S ribosomal RNA". It matches the Rfam family "Bacterial small subunit ribosomal RNA", at positions 524 to 776 of the family's 1533-position model. The record is from RNAcentral.